GGCUUAGAGUUUGAUCAUGGCUCAGGACGAACGCUGGCGGCGCGCCUAACACAUGCAAGUCGAACGGAAUAUUUUUCUACUUCAAGUUUUUUGCUUGUUUGAGGAAAGCGUCAAUCAGUGCGCAGCACUGAUUUAGGCCUUUUAGUAAGCUAACACAUGCAGAAAAGAACGAGCGGAAGAUUUGAAGUAGAAAAAUAUUUAGUGGCGAACGGGUGAGUAACGCGUGAGGAACCUGCCUCAAAGAAGGGGACAACAGUUGGAAACGACUGCUAAUACCGCAUAAGCCCACGGGGCCGCAUGGCCCUGAGGGAAAAGGAGCAAUCCGCUUUGAGAUGGCCUCGCGUCCGAUUAGCUGGUUGGUGAGGUAACGGCCCACCAAGGCGACGAUCGGUAGCCGGACUGAGAGGUUGAACGGCCACAUUGGGACUGAGACACGGCCCAGACUCCUACGGGAGGCAGCAGUGGGGAAUAUUGCACAAUGGGGGAAACCCUGAUGCAGCGACGCCGCGUGGAGGAAGAAGGUCUUCGGAUUGUAAACUCCUGUUGUUGGGGAAAAGAAGGAUGGUACCCAACAAGGAAGUGACGGCUAACUACGUGCCAGCAGCCGCGGUAAAACGUAGGUCACGAGCGUUGUCCGGAAUUACUGGGUGUAAAGGGAGCGCAGGCGGGUAUGCAAGUUGGGAGUGAAAUACAUGGGCUCAACCCAUGAACUGCUCUCAAAACUGUGUAUCUUGAGUAGUGCAGAGGUAGGCGGAAUUCCCGGUGUAGCGGUGGAAUGCGUAGAUAUCGGGAGGAACACCAGUGGCGAAGGCGGCCUACUGGGCACCAACUGACGCUGAGGCUCGAAAGUGUGGGUAGCAAACAGGAUUAG
Molecule: ribosomal RNA, 871 nt
Filed under: uncultured bacterium
Lineage: Bacteria
Description: bacterial SSU rRNA
Rfam family: Bacterial small subunit ribosomal RNA
Source: RNAcentral